Non-coding RNA from Pelobates cultripes (western spadefoot toad), 438 nucleotides. NCBI's taxonomy places the organism in Eukaryota, Metazoa, Chordata, Amphibia, Anura, Pelobatidae. The record is from the annotation of a GenBank genome assembly.
GCACUUUGGCAAAAGGAAUGCACAAGCAACUUAUACCCUUAAUGGAAGCGAAUUAAGGAUAACAACACACGAGAAGGUCUUGGGAAUUGUUAUAGACAACAAACUAUGCCACAAUGUGCAAUAAGCAGUGGCUAAGGUCAGUAUUGUCAUGCAUCAAAAAGGGCAUUAGUUCUCAGGAUGAUAAUAUUAUUUUGCCUCUUUAUAAAUCACUGGUGUGACGGAACGCUGGCACUCCGACCGAGUACCUCCGCCAAUCGAUGCUCCUAGCGCUUGCCGAGAACUCCAAGCACUCCAACCGACACAAUCAGCACUGCAGACCCCACUUACAGCGAUGCAGCCAUGCUGGGGUCUUGCUGUCUUUCACCCCCCCUGGAUCCAAGGCCAGGAUCCAGCUUCCAGUGGGCAGGCCUCUCUUCUCCCAGAGAGCGUAGCAGGAAC